Molecule: long non-coding RNA, 1321 nt
Filed under: Sus scrofa (pig)
Lineage: Eukaryota; Metazoa; Chordata; Mammalia; Artiodactyla; Suidae
Description: lncRNA (ENSSSCG00015021853.1)
Source: RNAcentral
AUGGCAUUACCAUCUAACAAGCCUCCCCCUCCUCCUUUGAGCCUCGGCUCCAGCCUCCCCUCCUCUGUAAUGCCAUCCUCCCUCUCCCCCAACAGCAAUGGCCCCUCUACUCUCUGUCCCACUGCCACACCCUGUAUUGCCCUCCAUCAUAGCGCCCGGCUCAGUGCCACCUUCCUGUCCCCAGCUCACCGGGGGAGGAUUAGACAUAGGCCCUGCCCAGCAGGCCAGCCAGGCUGUGUCAUGAACAACAGGAAACAAGCACUGUUUUAUCUCAGCCUUCCUUUUAUAUAUAUAUAUAUCUAUAUUCCAAACAUGAAAUAGAGAAGUCUUAUCAAGCACAUUUAAUCACUGCUCUUCCUCCUCCUCCUCUCAUUACAAUGAAGGUGAUAUAACCUGUGUCCUUGGCAGGCUGGAACAAAUGGGACCAGAAAUCCAAGUCAUUUUACAAACCACCUGGAUUUCUUCAUCUUCAUGUCGGCAUUCACUCCAUAAGCCUUCACCCAGACUUUUCUGUGAGCCGGGGGCAGUGCCAUGCUACAGAAUCAUACAGUGGUCCCUGCCCUAUGGAGCGUGCUGGCCAAUAAGGAAGUAGCUUGUGCAUCUGGAGUUAUCUCUUUCUAUGUGCACUGCAACUGAGCAUGAUGCUGUGGGAAAAUGGAUAAGGGAGGGGCUGAGUCUGUCUGGAGGGAUCAGGGAAGACUUCACAGAGGAAGUGACAUGUUUGCUGGGUCUUAAAGGAUAAGAAAAAAGGAGAGACGUUCUAAAGGGCAAAGGGAACAGCAUGUACAAAUGCAAAGAGGUGUGUAGAAAAGGGCACAUGCUAAGGAGACUAGGGAGGACAGUUGGGUCCAGAAUUUGAAGGGCCACAUGUGUUGCUGGAGGCACUGGGCACCUGUUGGUGUCUAUUUUGCAGGAAGUUCACUCUGGAAACUGAGCAGAGGCCAGACCAUUCUGGAGUGGGUAGGGGGCUGUGACAGCCACAGCCUGUGAGAUCCCCAUGUAAGAUAACUGACCUUUUAUUUUAAAGGUCUUACAGCUACAGACUGGACAGGCUGGGGUGGGAGAUUUAAUUUAACCCCCAAACAGGGACUAGCACAAGUGCUACCACUCCUCUCGCCUAUGUCCUUGGCAGGCAUUGCUAAUCAAUCACAGCAUCAUCCUCAUCCUACAACUGAGGAAGCAGGGGUGGGAAGGUGGGCUUGGGACCCCACCGAGUUACAACACAACAGAGCCAGGUCCCCAGCCAGAGGGGGUGGUGACAGAUCUGGCAAGCCAGAGGUUCAGACAAACAUGGGUGUGUAUCCAGGUUCUUCCAUUUACU